GAGGUAUGCCUGUAUCAGUGUCCGUACAUCAAACUUUGAUUUCUUCUUCCCGUGUAGUCGGGGGAGGAUAAGCCAGAUGUGAAGUGUCUUACGGCUGAUUUUCGGAUCGGCUGUGAGUCCUUUGAAAUGUACAGAACUGACUCUCUUUGUUCGAAAAGCGUGGCAUUGCUGGUUGUAAAGGCUGUUCAUGUGACCAGUCGGCGAUCGGUUUGUCUGCUGUGGCGUUAAUGGAGGAGUGUUCGAUUCGCGGUAUGGUUGGCUUCGGCUGAACAGAUGCUUAUUGGUCAUUCUUCUUGCUGUGGCGGUAUAACUGAUGAACCGUAGUCGUGUGUGACUUACCUUUUGAAUCGGCGUUGCUGUGCGAAGUAGAGUGACAGUUUCGGCUGUCGAGGGUCGACCCAUUUGGGAAAUUGUGCGGUGCGGCUUCGGUCGCGCGGCAUCUCAAUUGGACCUGAUAUCAGGCAAGAUUACCCGCUGAACUUAAGCAUAUCAAUAAGCGGAGGA
Molecule: ribosomal RNA, 504 nt
Filed under: uncultured Oomycota
Lineage: Eukaryota; Oomycota
Description: eukaryotic LSU rRNA
Rfam family: Eukaryotic large subunit ribosomal RNA (bases 448-504)
Source: RNAcentral